AUGAUACCAGCACUGGAUAUUGUGUUCCAGGCGUAUUCCCCAGGGGACCUGGAGGAGACCCUGGAGCCCGCCUUCUAUGACUCUUUCUCUUCGGCCUCAAACAUCUCGAGUUCCUCCAUCCAAGAGGAGAUGGGCCAAAUGUUGGGAAGCCAGGUCACUGUCACAGGCCCCGAGGAGGAGGACCAAGGACACCAGGUCCCAGCCUUGACAGAAAACCCUGAGCCCAUGGAGGAACAGGCCAAAGCAGCUCUGGUGCUUGUGGAAGCUCCCGUUCGUGGUCCACCAACUCCACCAUCUGAUAGAGAACUGGAGCUGGAUGAACCUGCAGUGGACCAUCAAGGCCAACACACCCUGCUGGCCAUUCAGUCAGCACUGCAUCCCGAGAGGAACCCUGAGCCUCUGUUCUCCCAGGCCAUUGGUUUAUUUGUUUUUAUUGUUUGUCUUUAUUAUUUUAGGAUUAUUUAAAAUUAAAGAUUUGUUUUCAUUGUUAAAAGUCUCAGUUAUUUGCCAUCAAGUGCCUUCUCUAAACUGUGCACUAGUCACCACUAUGCAGUUCCAGAACGUCUUCCAGAAUUCGGUAUCUAUGAUCACUGCCUCCCCACCCUCCUGCUAGUCCCCAGCGAACCCCUUAGCUUCUAGUCCUGUGAUAUGCUGAGUCUGCAUUUUUUAAGCCAGUGCAGUCUGAUUUCUUCUGGGCUGUGUAAAGUUGGAAGGGACUAAUUAUGUUUCCUUAGAAGGACAAAUGCCAUAGAGAUCUGUGUUUUUUAUGUUUUUUAUUUUUACUUUUUGUUACUGGGCUUCAGCCCAGGGGCACAUUACCACUGAGUUACAUCCAUGGUCUUUUCCUUUUUCAUUUUGUGUCAGCCUCUUGCUGGUUUACUGUGGCUUCCCUAAACUUAAACCCUUUGCCUCAAAGCAGUGUUAUUUGGAAAUAAAAAAACUACUACUACUACUACUACUACUACU
RNAcentral lists this long non-coding RNA (966 nucleotides) under Marmota marmota marmota (Alpine marmot). Its description in RNAcentral is "lncRNA (ENSMMMG00000007411.1)". The record is from RNAcentral. Lineage: Eukaryota; Metazoa; Chordata; Mammalia; Rodentia; Sciuridae.